GUGAAAGUAAUUUAAAUUUAAAAUUUUUAUUUUGCAAAUAAAAACAUCUAGGAACAAACUCUAGCUUUUACA
This 72-nucleotide transfer RNA is filed under the name Comatella nigra. RNAcentral describes it as "tRNA-Ala". Lineage: Eukaryota; Metazoa; Echinodermata; Crinoidea; Comatulida; Comatulidae. The record is from RNAcentral.